This 481-nucleotide ribosomal RNA is filed under the name uncultured bacterium. Its description in RNAcentral is "partial 16S ribosomal RNA". It matches the Rfam family "Bacterial small subunit ribosomal RNA", at positions 28 to 507 of the family's 1533-position model. The record is from RNAcentral.
GACGAACGCUGGCGGCGUGCUUAACACAUGCAAGUCGAACGAUGAUGCUCCAGCUUGCUGGGGUGGAUUAGUGGCGAACGGGUGAGUAACACGUGAGUAACCUGCCCCCUUCUUCGGGAUAAGCUUGGGAAACUGGGUCUAAUACUGGAUAUUCUGCAAUUGUCGCAUGGUGGUUGUGGGAAAGAUUUUUUGGUGGGGGAUGGGCUCGCGGCCUGUCAGCUUGUUGGUGGGGUGAUGGCCUACCAAGGCGUCGACGGGUAGCCGGCCUGAGAGGGUGACCGGCAACACAGGGACGGAGAUGCGGCCCAGAGGCGGACGGGGGGCAGAAGUGGGGAAUAUUGCACAAUGGGCGCAAGCGUGAUGCAGCGACGGCGCGUGAGGGAUGACGGCUUUCGGGUUGUAAACCUCUUUCGAUGGGGAACAAGGCCAUAGUUUUGUGUGGUUGAGGGUACCUGUAUAAGAAGCGCCGGCUAACUACGUG